AGAGCGAACGCUGGCGGCAGGCUUAACACAUGCAAGUCGAGCGCCCCGCAAGGGGAGCGGCAGACGGGUGAGUAACGCGUGGGAACGUACCUUUUGGUUCGGAACAACACAGGGAAACUUGUGCUAAUACCGGAUAAGCCCUUACGGGGAAAGAUUUAUCGCCGAAAGAUCGGCCCGCGUCUGAUUAGCUAGUUGGUGAGGUAACGGCUCACCAAGGCGACGAUCAGUAGCUGGUCUGAGAGGAUGAUCAGCCACAUUGGGACUGAGACACGGCCCAAACUCCUACGGGAGGCAGCAGUGGGGAAUAUUGGACAAUGGGCGCAAGCCUGAUCCAGCCAUGCCGCGUGAGUGAUGAAGGCCCUAGGGUUGUAAAGCUCUUUUGUGCGGGAAGAUAAUGACGGUACCGCAAAGAAUAAGCCCCGGCUAACUUCGUGCCAGCAGCCGC
This 445-nucleotide ribosomal RNA is filed under the name uncultured bacterium. RNAcentral describes it as "SSU rRNA". It matches the Rfam family "Bacterial small subunit ribosomal RNA", at positions 26 to 518 of the family's 1533-position model. The record is from RNAcentral.